UCGCACCGUGUUCUAUAGCUUCAGUCUCACACAACUAUUCAAAAGUUCAACAUCUAAAUUUCUAUUAAAUUUAAUUCUGCAAAAAUGUUCAUCGGUCCAGUCCAAAAGGAACAUCUGCACAACAUGAUCCUAGGUUGUGGCUGGCCUUGCGGGUCGUUGAGCGGUCCCUGCUGCUGCAGCGGUUGCUGCGGCAGUUGUUGUGGUAGCUGUUGCGGUGGGUGCUGCGGUGGCUGUUAACAUUGAAUGAGGGGACAAGGACUACACAAGGAUCGAUGUCAACUGAUGUGCAGAAACAUAUAAAAUACAUUCACCAUCUGCUAUUUAAUAUGAAGUGAGGCUGAAAAAUCGACCAUCAUUUGAAAAUCCGAAGUUGUAUUACCUGUGGGCUAAGGAAUGGAGUUAAAUGCUGCAGAUCCCUAAAAAAAAAAAGAGAACAGUUGUUUCGGAACUACAGGAAUGCAGAUUUAGAUAUUUUUUAAAAUAAGAAAAUUUUGCACAAGAUCAAAUAAAAAAUUUUGUUUUGAAAAAUGAA
This 532-nucleotide small RNA is filed under the name Drosophila mojavensis. RNAcentral describes it as "GI25745". The record is from RNAcentral. Lineage: Eukaryota; Metazoa; Arthropoda; Insecta; Diptera; Drosophilidae.